RNAcentral lists this non-coding RNA (111 nucleotides) under Ruminococcus flavefaciens. RNAcentral describes it as "THF riboswitch". It matches the Rfam family "THF (Tetrahydrofolate) riboswitch aptamer". From Rfam's summary of the family: THF riboswitch presents a pseudoknot that joins P1-P2 and the loop of P3 and two THF binding. Lineage: Bacteria; Bacillati; Bacillota; Clostridia; Eubacteriales; Oscillospiraceae. The record is from RNAcentral.
AGAGUAAAAAUACGAGCGCUGCUGCUUCUUGCAGUACAGUGCCGGCUGAACGGGGAGUUGUCAGCCGGACGAAUAGCCUUCCGGCUUGCGGUUCGUGUUUUGCAUCCCGCU